GGAAGUGUGCCUGAAAAAGGACUACUUUGAUAGAGUACACCACGGAGGUUAAAAUCCCCCCACUUCCU
Molecule: transfer RNA, 68 nt
Filed under: Teratoscincus microlepis (Small-scaled wonder gecko)
Lineage: Eukaryota; Metazoa; Chordata; Lepidosauria; Squamata; Sphaerodactylidae
Description: tRNA-Ile
Rfam family: tRNA
About the family: Transfer RNA (tRNA) molecules are approximately 80 nucleotides in length. Their secondary structure includes four short double-helical elements and three loops (D, anti-codon, and T loops). Further hydrogen bonds mediate the characteristic L-shaped molecular structure. tRNAs have two regions of fundamental functional importance: the anti-codon, which is responsible for specific mRNA codon recognition, and the 3' end, to which the tRNAs corresponding amino acid is attached (by aminoacyl-tRNA synthetases). tRNAs cope with the degeneracy of the genetic code in two manners: having more than one tRNA (with a specific anti-codon) for a particular amino acid; and 'wobble' base-pairing, i.e. permitting non-standard base-pairing at the 3rd anti-codon position.
Source: RNAcentral